RNAcentral lists this ribosomal RNA (402 nucleotides) under uncultured bacterium. RNAcentral describes it as "bacterial SSU rRNA". It matches the Rfam family "Bacterial small subunit ribosomal RNA", at positions 29 to 459 of the family's 1533-position model. The record is from RNAcentral.
AACGAACGCUGGCGGCAGGCCUAACACAUGCAAGUCGAGCGAAGCCUUCGGGCUUAGCGGCGGACGGGUGAGUAACGCGUGGGAACGUGCCCUUUGGUACGGAAUAGCCCCGGGAAACUGGGAGUAAUACCGUAUGUGGUCGAGAGACGAAAGAUUUAUCGCCAAAGGAUCGGCCCGCGUUGGAUUAGGUAGUUGGUGGGGUAAUGGCCUACCAAGCCGACGAUCCAUAGCUGGUUUGAGAGGAUGAUCAGCCACACUGGGACUGAGACACGGCCCAGACUCCUACGGGAGGCAGCAGUGGGGAAUCUUAGACAAUGGGGGAAACCCUGAUCUAGCCAUGCCGCGUGAUCGAUGAAGGCCUUAGGGUGUAAAGAUCUUUCAGUGGGGAAGAUAAUGACUGUA